GGGGCGUUAGACAAGUGGCUUAAGUCACACGACUUUCUAUCGUGUAUGCAUGGGUUCGAAUCCCAUACGCCCUACCA
RNAcentral lists this transfer RNA (77 nucleotides) under Bacillus thuringiensis. RNAcentral describes it as "tRNA-Glu". It matches the Rfam family "tRNA". Rfam says of the family: Transfer RNA (tRNA) molecules are approximately 80 nucleotides in length. Their secondary structure includes four short double-helical elements and three loops (D, anti-codon, and T loops). Lineage: Bacteria; Bacillati; Bacillota; Bacilli; Caryophanales; Bacillaceae. The record is from RNAcentral.